Molecule: ribosomal RNA, 253 nt
Filed under: uncultured bacterium
Lineage: Bacteria
Description: partial 16S ribosomal RNA
Rfam family: Bacterial small subunit ribosomal RNA
Source: RNAcentral
UACGUAGGGUGCGAGCGUUAAUCGGAAUUACUGGGCGUAAAGCGUGCGCAGGCGGUUCGUUGUGUCUGAUGUGAAAGCCCCGGGCUCAACUUGGGAAUGGCAUUGGAAACUGGCGAGCUAGAGUGUGGCAGAGGGGGGUGGAAUUCCGCGUGUAGCAGUGAAAUGCGUAGAGAUGCGGAGGAACACCGAUGGCGAAGGCAGCCCCCUGGGCUAGCACUGACGCUCAGGCACGAAAGCGUGGGGAGCAAACAGG